GAUCCUGGCUCAGGAUGAACGCUGGCGGCGUGCCUAACACAUGCAAGUCGAACGGAGUAAUUAAGCGGAAGUUUCGGAUGGAAGCAUAGUACUUAGUGGCGGACGGGUGAGUAACGCGUGGGCAACCUGCCCUGUACCGGGGAAUAACACUUAGAAAUAGGUGCUAAUACCGCAUAAGCGCACAGCUUCGCAUGAAGGUGUGUGAAAAACUCCGGUGGUACAGGAUGGACCCGCGUCUGAUUAGCUAGUUGGUGGGGUAGAGGCCUACCAAGGCGACGAUCAGUAGCCGGCCUGAGAGGGUGACCGGCCACAUUGGGACUGAGACACGGCCCAAACUCCUACGGGAGGCAGCAGUGGGGAAUAUUGCACAAUGGGGGAAACCCUGAUGCCAGCGACGCCGCGUGAGUGAAGAAGUAUUUCGGUAUGUAAAGCUCUAUCAGCAGGGAAGAAAAUGACGGUACCUGACUAAGAAGCCCCGGCUAACUACGUGCCAGCCGCCGC
Molecule: ribosomal RNA, 501 nt
Filed under: uncultured bacterium
Lineage: Bacteria
Description: bacterial SSU rRNA
Rfam family: Bacterial small subunit ribosomal RNA
Source: RNAcentral